This 6140-nucleotide long non-coding RNA is filed under the name Solanum lycopersicum (tomato). RNAcentral's name for it is "long non-coding RNA (SLYC_LNC000287)". The record is from RNAcentral. Lineage: Eukaryota; Viridiplantae; Streptophyta; Magnoliopsida; Solanales; Solanaceae.
UAACUCACAAUCCCAAACUCUCUUCCUUCUCUAUUCUUUCUCUCUCUAGAUUAAAAACCCCAUUGGACACCAAGCUAGUGGAGGAUUUAAGGGCUGAAAAGAUCCAAGUUUCUCCAUAAAUCUUCAUCAAUUAGUAAGGUAUGAGAUUCCUUUCACCUCUUUCCUCAAAAGGUUUUAAUAAAUUGAUUUCAAAAAAUUUGUUUUUCAAGUGUGUUUUCAUCCAAUACGAAUUUGAGCUUGUGAAUUGAUUUGUUUAUGAUUUUUUUGAAUAUUAUCAAUAUACUAACACCUUUAGUUAACUGAAAAAAAAAAGAUAUUAUUUUAAAUUCUUAAAACAACUGGAUCACAUCAACUCAGAACAAAUUUCCAGCAAAUAAAAUCGCAAAAAACAAAGGAGAAAAAUAUGCAACUUCUUGCAAGGAGAACACAGACCACUAACCCAUUUAAUUUCAUGAAUAAAUAAGAAAUCCAAUGUGAGUUUUACAGUAAUAAAAAGAAAAGAAAUAGCAACUUUCUUAGAAUAAAAUUUCUCACAUUAUCACAAUUGUAACAACCUGCUAACAUAAAACCAUAAAGCAUAGACGAACUUCAGAAUUAAGACACAUCUAAGAUGCGUGAGAACUACACACAUAAUGGACGAAGCAACUAAAAAUUGACCAUGGGAGAAUGAGGACUCAAAUCAAGAAGGGAUCCAUUGAAAGCAUGGUUAAAAGUGGAAAUUCUCUCCUGUUGUGCAACAAAUAGGGACUGGCGAGCAGAUAUGAGCUGACUUCCACCAACAAAGUUCUAAAACGACUCUAAUGGCUAAUCCUCUUAUCCGUUGUUCUUGAGAAAUCUUAGCAAUGGUUUCUACCUAAAUCUUUAAUGUUCUUUCUAUUUUAUCGCUCAAACUUCACCCUAAAAGAAAAAUUUUUUACUCUAUAUCAAAACAAAUUCUCCUCUAAAGCAAAAAAAGUAAAUAAAAUAAAUAAAUUCCCCCUCAAGGGAGAAAUGAGAUUAUUUACAGAAGAAGAUUUAGGGUUUUCUUGGGCAGGAAUCUGGGGAAAUUCAGAUAAGAACCAAGGUAAAAAAAAUCUGAAUUCAUUUCGAAAUUCAAAUCCCUCCACAGGACAAGGAAAAUCUAUAUUUUCUUUACGAAAGAUUCGUCAAUUUUAAGCAAAAAAAACAAAAGAAGAAAGGGACGUAGGCGGCAUAGAUCAAUCGAUCGUCCCUGCGCCUUGACAUGGCGCCCAUCCACGCGAGCCAAGGACGAUUUCCACGGCUGUAUUGACUGAGAAACAGUUGGAUUUGGGAAAAACUGCUCCAACUCGUACCAUCUCGAAAAGGAGACUAGUCGCAUUGAAGCGCGUUGCUAAUUCACGCAUCAAAGGGGAGAAAUGCGAACACAGGGGAGGGGUUGAGCCAUGGAGGAACGCGCACCGCUGCUACGUAACGCGUGAAGAACGCGAUGCUGCCUCUGACUUCUUAUCUCUAGCAUCGCAGAAUUCAUUUUGGUGAUGAGCAAAAGGGAUUUGGAUCGGGUUGACAUAAUGUUGGGCCCAAAAUUGGGCUGGGGUUGAAUGGAUUAAUUAUUGGAAGAGUGGGCUGGGAAAUUGGGAUAUUUCAAUGAAGCCGUUGGGCUGAAAAAUUUGGGCUGGCUGCAGUAGAAGGGAUUUGGAAUUGAGCUGGAGAACUGGCUGAGGAUGUGGAGUGAGUUGCUGAAAAAAAUUGAGAGAAAACCCAAAAUAUAUUUUUUGCAAAGUGUUUUUUGAUAGUAGGUAAAUAAAAAAUGAACUGAUAAAAAUUAAUUAACAAGCUUCUUACGUUUGACGAAAUAAAGUAAUCGACUUAAUUAAGAUGUAAUUAAUCCGAAAGUGUAAACUAAUUUAGUAAAGUAUUGAACCCAAAAUAAAAUCCUUUUGAGACGAUUUUCAAAUAAUCACAAAAUAUACUAGUUAUAUACAUAACUAAGUAAAAUACAUACUCUAUCUAAAAAAGGUGAUGAGAUUAAUUAAAAUUAACUUAAAAUAUUUUAAACUUUAUAAAAUCUAAUUAUUUUUAAAAUCGGUUAGAAUUAAGAAGCUCGUUGAUUGAUUAUUAUCGUGGAGGGCCAAAAUUGAGUGUCAGCAACUGUCCCUCAUUUUUUUUGAAUUGAUACAAGAAAUUCGAGGAAAAUGAAGUUGACCAAACAGAUUUUAACCGACCACAUAUAUAUUCUUAAAAAAAGGAUUUGGCUAGGAAUUCAAGAGUUAUGGCCGAACCCCAAAACGAGUUUCCUGCAUAUCUUAGGAAAUAUGAGAAUUCAGGUCACUUGUAGUUCAAUACGCUUGAGUUAAGACAUGAUUUUGAAAGAAUUCACAAGUCAUCUCGACACCAAAUUAUGAAGGGAUCGAAAUGCUCGUGAGUAAUAUUCAAGAGCGAGAGUUGGAAUACAGUUGAGUUUUCAACAUUGAGCUUGCCUACAUAUCCUUAAACUCAAGGAAUCAAGCUGCUUGUAGUUCAACUCAAACAGUUGAAAAGGAAAUCUAUUAUGCUAGAUAACCUUUAGUUCAUGACAAGUGACAAAUUAAGUCGAGUGUGAAAAGGAGGUGUGUAACCUCUUAGUCAUGAAUGUGGUGCUCUUUACACCCAUAAAUAAAAACUUACACGGACAUUAUAAUCUUAUAUUUUCCAUAGUUUCCAUCCAAUAUUAUAAAUAGUCAUAGUUCAUUUUAAUCUAAAUCUAUUUUUAAAUCGUAUAUAUCUAUAUCUAAUUCUUGUAAAUCUAUUUCAUACCAUUCUUUAUUUAAUAUAUCUUCUAUAUCAUGAUCAAAUAUUUUUCCCAUAUAAUUCUUUUUAUGUCAACAAUUUCUAUAUCUUUAACUAUAUAUAAGAUCAAAGUUUUAUAGCUUUUUAUUUCAUCAUACAAUGUAAUCAUGUUUAUUUAUUUAUUCAGGUUUGUUUUCAAUUAUUCCUUCCUAUCAUAUCAUAAUUCAAUUAAAUUCAUAUUAGUUUAUUUUAAACUAGAGUAUCAUUAUCAUGUUUUUAGGUCACUACUAGUAUCGUACUUUAGCAGAUAAUUAUUGCUUAUCAGCGCCUCAACCUUGUGUACUCCCCUAACGGCAUCCCCCGCCUACCGGUUUCCACUGUGGGAUGACAUAGUCUAGCAGUUUUCUCCCUGUUUCCCGUUUACUAGCAAACUAGAAUUCAUGAUUCAAAUAUUUCUACUAUAUAUUCAAUAACAUAAAUUUAAUCAAUCAUAUAUGAUAUUCAGGAAUAUAUGAAAUUAGUUCUGCAUAAUUGUUAAACAAUAUACCUUUGUCUCUUGAUUUUCCAUGCUAUCUAAAAUAUUUGACUUGAUUUCGGAUUUCUCCAUUUUUAACUUAGUCUAUAUCUUUUGUCGAGAGAGGUUUUUGAAAGGCUUUUUAUUAACUUAAGCUUUUGUUUGGUCUUGCCUGCCUCUCAUUUACAGUUUGGCAAUCUAUAUAUACUAAAUUCUAAACCUACACAUAAUUGUGCCUACUGUAUACUUACGACUAUUUUACAAAACUUUACAAAUGACCGCUAUACAUUGGUCUAUUAAAAAGUAAAAGCUAUAUACAAAGGAAUCUUAUCUUUUUGCUUUUAUCUUUGUCUACCACUUAUCUUUACAUAAUUUCAAACUUUCUUUUUAUCUUGUCUACCACCUUAUGUCCUUUGUUUGUAUCUGCUUUUGUCCUUGUUAUCUUUAUCUCUUUUUCUCCUCCAUCUUUUAUGAUUAUCUAUUUUUCUUUAUUCCAAAUCAACAUCUGGUAUAACCUUAUCUUCUCCAUUGCAUUUGAAACAUCUAUGAUAUGGAUAUUUGUGUCCAAUAAGUUUACAAUAUCUAAUUAAUAAGUCUUCUGAGAUAAAUUCUUUCUUUAAUGCUUGUGUUGUAGGUUGUUCCUCUGUCUUUAAUAAUGAAAAAAUUCAUCGCUGAACUUCAUCCAUAUCUGCUCUUCUUAAUUCCCUUGAGUUUGAAUUUAUCAUAACAUGAUCUCUAGAGUAAUAACUCCAUAUGGCAUUUUCAUUUAAAUAAUUAUUUGCUAAUUCUUGUAUGAUAGUUGAUACACCAAUUAUUCUUUUACUGGCAUAAAAACCUGGUAUUUCUAUCUUUGGUAUUUCAUUCUGAUGUCCAAUAUCUUCUGGUAUGAUCAUACCUUUUGUCAAUCCUAUCUUAAUAACAUGAAUUGGAGAUUUUACCUCCUCAUAUAAUAUUUCUGCUGGUGCUGUAUACAACUUAAUAUAAAAUAAGUUUCCUUUUGUAACUCUUUUAUGUGUAAUAAAUGCUUUGUAUAACUCUGGUAUUCCACUAAUUUCUUCUCCAUCAUAUGUAUAUACUGUACUUAGUAAUCCAUAAUUGUAACAUGUCUUAACUAGAUUAGCUUUUUUUUUUGUGCUCUAAGUCUAUUGUAUAUUUGUAAUUUUUGAGUUAUAUAGUCUUGACUUGGAUCUUUGGUUUGGUUACAUCUGGGUAGAGAAUUAAAUAAGUUUGGAUUCUAUAUAUCUUUUCAAUGUAGGUUUGUGUAAUAUAAUUGUAUCUUUUCUUUCACUCUGGUUUUGUAUACUCACUGCACAGGUAGAAGUUUGUGGUUCUAUGAGUAUUUGUUUUGAUGUAAUUUGAAUAAAUGGUUUUACAAAUAACUGGUUUAAAUUUGUAUUUCGUAGUUUUUCACUAACUUUUCUGCUUGUACCUGCAGCUGUAUUUAAAAAAACAUUAUGAUUUUUAGGGAUUUUUCCAUCGUCUCCUUUUAUCUCAGGAAUGUUACCGUCUUCUGAUCGUCGUAGCUCCGCAUUUUUAUAGUCAUGCUGCUGACUUAUAUUAGCUUUAGACUUCAGGUUAUCUUCAUUAGUCUUUAGCUUUUGUAUCUCAUUGUCCAUACUAUCCACUAUAGUACAAAGUGUAGUAAUGGCUUUAAGUCACUUUGUAAUUGUAUCUUCGUCUUUGUUCUUAGUCUGAGUAGCUUUGUCUUGAUAACUAGUUUGCAACACCAUUCUUAUUAGUCUUUAUCAAUUCAAUUGUAAAUGUAAAGUUUAAUAUAUUUAAUACCAAUCUUCUAAUUUCUUUUAUUGUUACUGAAUUUUGUAUUUUUCUGGUUAACCACCAUUUUACUUGUGUAUUAUCUGUUCUCACAAUAAAUUUGUUAUAUACAAUAUAUGGCUCAAAUGCUAAUAAAUAUUUAUACACUGAAAAUAAUUCUUUCCUAUGAUCAUAUCUUUUGUCAAUCCUAUCUUAAUAACUUGAAUUGGAGAUUUUACCUCCUCAUAUAAUAUUUGCGCUGGUGCUGUAUAAAAUUUAAUAUAAAUUAAGUUUCCUUUUGCAACUCUUUUAUAUGUAAUAAAUGUUUUGUAUAACUCUGGUAUUCCACUGAUUUUCUUCUCCGUCAUAUGAUUAUACUGUACUUAGUAAUCCAUAAUUGUAACAUGUCUUAACUAGAUUAGCACUAGUUUUUGGUUGUGCUAUAAGUCUAUUAUAUCCUUAUAACUUUUGAGUUAUAUAGUCUUGACUUUGAUAUUUUGUUUGGUUAGAUCUCGGGUUGAGAUUUAAAUGAGUUUGGAUUAUAUAUAUUUUUUAAUGUUUGUUUGUAUAAUAUAAUUGUAUCUUUUCUUUUCACUCUAAUUUUGUAUACUCACUACAUACGUAGAAGUUUGUGGUUCUAUGGGUAUUUGUUUUGGUGUAUUUUGAAUAAAUAGUUUUACAAAUAACCGGUUUAAAUUUGUAUUUCGUGAUUUUUCACUAACUUUUCUGCUUGUACCUGCAGCUGUAUUUAAACAAACAUUAUGGAUUUUAGGGAGUUUCCUAUCGUCGCCUUUUAUCUCAGGAAUUUUACCGUCUUCCGAUCGAAGUAGCUCCGCAGUUUUAUAGUCAUGUUGCUGACUUAUAUUAUCUUUAGACUUCAGGUUAUCUUCAUUAGUCUUUAGCUUUUGUAUCUCAUUGUCCAUACUAUCCACUUUAUACAAAGUGUAGUAAUGGCUUUGAGUAGCUUUUCAAUUGUAUCUUCGUCUUUGUUCUCAGUAGUCUGAGUAGCUUUGUCUUAAUAAGUAGUCUGCAACACCAUUUUAUUAGUCUUUAUCACUUCAAUUGUAAAUGUAAAGUUUAAUAUAUUUAAUACCAAUUUUCUAAUUUCUUUCGUUGUUACUGAAUCUUGUAUUUUUCUUGUUAA